RNAcentral lists this non-coding RNA (26 nucleotides) under Cricetulus griseus (Chinese hamster). The record is from RNAcentral. Lineage: Eukaryota; Metazoa; Chordata; Mammalia; Rodentia; Cricetidae.
CAUCUCCUGACCCUAUCUCUCUGCAG